GACGAACGCUGGCGGCGUGCCUAAUACAUGCAAGUUGAGCGAUGAAGAUUGGUGCUUGCACCAAUUUGCAGAGCAGCGAACGGGUGAGUAACGCGUGGGGAAUCUGCCUUUGAGCGGGGGACAACAUUUGGAAACGAAUGCUAAUACCGCAUAACAACUUUAAACAUAAGUUUUAAGUUUGAAAGAUGCAAUUGCAUCACUCAAAGAUGAUCCCGCGUUGUAUUAGCUAGUUGGUGAGGUAAAGGCUCACCAAGGCGAUGAUACAUAGCCGACCUGAGAGGGUGAUCGGCCACAUUGGGACUGAGACACGGCCCAAACUCCUACGGGAGGCAGCAGUAGGGAAUCUUCGGCAAUGGACGAAAGUCUGGCCGAGCAACGCCGCGUGAGUGAAGAAGGGUUUCGGAUCGUAAAACUCGGUUGGUAGAGAAGAACGUUGGUGAGAGUGGAAAGCUCAUCAAGUGACGGUAACUACCCAGAAAGGGACGGCUAACUACGUG
RNAcentral lists this ribosomal RNA (497 nucleotides) under uncultured bacterium. RNAcentral describes it as "partial 16S ribosomal RNA". It matches the Rfam family "Bacterial small subunit ribosomal RNA", at positions 28 to 507 of the family's 1533-position model. The record is from RNAcentral.